GUCAAUUCCAGGCCAGUGGUAGAGGCAGGCUCUGUCCUGGGAAGUGUCUUCUUUUAUAUCAUUACAGUACAGAAAACUUUGGUCCAACAGCACAAUUUCAGAAGCUCACUACAUGGCUGCAACAUCAAUUUGUAUGUAAAGCUGUCUUACUCCUGCCUAUGGAAAAGAGAAGGAGAUUAAAAAAAACACCAAACAAUAAAGCCAAAGCAAUUUAACUGUCCUGAUAAACUGUCCACAUCAGUAAGCUGCCCUACAAAAAGUCUCAAUCCUCAUUUUCUCUAACUCAGCUUCCACAUUCAGCAAAACAUUUGUUGAGAUACCUGCCAAUUUUGAAACCCAUACAUUUUUUAGAGAGCACUGCUUGAAACACACGGUUCUUUAUGUAGUAAAGAGGUGUUAGGUGUUAAGUACAUAUUAACACUAGCAUUUAUCCUAAAUAACUGUCACAUAAAGAAGCUGCACAAAUUUUCUCCUGUACAAGUUUAACUGCCUGAAAAUAAGCUGCUUACAGAGCUCUAAGACUGAAAUGGAGCAAAAGCACAAGACUAUAACACAGGACUUGUGGUUUGAACCAGCUCUACUCUUCUAAGAUUCUAGCAAGACACAACACUUGCUACAAUGAAUUGACUUGAUGUGAGAUGACACGAGAGAUUUUGGUAUAGGUAUGCAAAUGACUCCAGAACAUCUAUUUCCUCAGAAAUUCUAUUAAACUAGACUUAGAUUGACUCAUUUAGUUUUACCAUCAAUAAAAACAACAUAAAAAUAAUUUAUUAAUUCAUUUUAACCCGUGUCAAGCAAGUGCUGUGAUGGUCACAGAGCGACCUUGAAACACUAGGUUGAACACUACUGAAGAUCAGACUGUCCUCAAACAUCUUCAACUUGUUUUUAGCUCAGCUGAGCUGCAAAAACAAUCAGCAGUUAUAUCAAAACUUAUGAAGGCCAAUAUUAUUGAAGAGAAAAAUCUACUUGCUCAAACUCAUUGCCAUAAGUCAGGUAAAAAGAGCAACAGACCUUGCUCCCCCACUUCACUUCCAAGAUACACAGCUCUAAAACUGCAAAGCUACAAGAUAGUGGAAGAGUGAAUGAGUCACUAGGAAAGUGCAAUCCUUUGGUGACUUGAGAUGUAAAAUCAGCUUUGAGUAUACAUGACAGAAUAUUCUGCAUAGUCCUUCCCAGAAACUAUCCCUUAACAAUCUCAAAGUACAUAGAGAAAGCCAUACAGACGAAUUUGUACCUGAUUCAUAAUCUAGAGCAGUAUAUAAUGGAAUAUCUAAGAAUGACCCAACUUUAUGAAUAAAAUUAGAUUUUAGAAUAUUUGUAAGCUUCAGUGGCAUUUCCCCUGAAAGUGCUGAAACUGAGUAUGCUAGAUGCAUGCAAAUCCCUAAACGAUCCAUUCUGUAAGUUUUAAUAGAGGAGAAAUGUAAUAAAGAUAAUAAAAUAAUAAAAAAUAAAACAAGUCAUAGAAUAAUAGAAUGGUUUAGGUUGGAAGAGAUCUUACAGCCCAUCUAGUUCCAACCCCCCUGCCACGGGCUGGUUGCCACCCACUAGAUCAGGCUGCCCAGGACCCCAUCCAACUUGGCCUUGAAUGCCUCCAGGGAUGGGGCAUCCAUAGCUUCUGUGGGCAAAGUCACUUUCUUAGAGAAAAAAAGUUUCAUGAAGUUCCUGACUAUUAGGAUAAAAUAGGCACUUACCAGAUGCAUAAACAAUUCACCACACACAUGUACUGACAACACAAUUGACCAGUACAACAUUUAGAGCGAGAGAAGGAACAUGCAUGUGAGCAUGUGCAAAUGCUUUCCCUGCUGCAUAAAGCUUUCAAAAGAUUUAUGCAAGCACUGAACUGUAUAUAAAGGUAUUUUUUAGAGUAUUACAUGCAACUGAUCAGAAGCUCCCUUCUUGACUAUCCAGCUGACUUCGACAAAUUAGUAAUUUAUGUAUCCUCAAAGUAUUACCAUUUAGCCGACAAUAUUUAUUUUAUUGCAUAAAACACUGGUUAUAAACAGGAAUAUCCAUCUCCCUUUCAGCUACUGAAAGCUCCAUUACUCAGAAUUAGAGGAAGAAAAUUGAAAUAUCUAUGCAUUUUUUCAUAAAUAUAGUCCUGCAACAACAGAAAUAAAAAUCAAGAUAUUGCCCCUGGAUGGCAUAAGUUACCACCUUUGCUCCUGACAAAGUUCUCUUGCUGGAGAAUUCUCUAUUUUAUCUCAAUGGACUCUAGAUAAUCCCUGUAAGCCAUUCGUGUCCUGCAGCUACGCUGGAAUAGGCAGCCAAACUAAGUGUUUAAUGAUUUGAAAGUAUAAGGAAGCAACAGAAAAUGUUUACUCAAGUUUCUACGAUUUUGGUCUUCUUAAUAGAACUCCUAUCUUCUAAUAAAGUGUCAGGUGUUCACAAGAAUUCCAUACCAACUUCAUACCAACUAUAAAUGCUAUCAAAUACAUCUCUAUGUAAAAACAAAUAUAUUAUUCUAUAGGGAAACAGGGAAAUACACUGAUCUUACAAAACACGACAAUUAAUGGUUACAUUUUAAUCAGUGAUCAUCACAGCAUAUAUGUUACUGAAAAACAGCAUAACAUGCAAAGAAAAAUGAUUAUUAAACUAGGUCCAGUCUGUGGUCAGAAGCUCUCUCGAGGGAAGACAUUUAUUUUCUUGGUUCCUCACAUUUACUCAAAUAUACAGGUUUCAACACCUCAGAAUAUUACUGCUCUUAUUUCCAUUACAUGGCAUUAACAGUUAAUGCAGGGAGGUAUAGAAAUUCCACCUACACUACAAGGAAUUCUGAAAUUGUCCUUCACAGCUGGAGAAGAGAAGCUUUUCAACAGUUACAAUGAUACCAAAAAAAGAAAACUUUUUCUUAACAAGAGUUGUAGUGUCACGUCAGGUAACUUUGCUGAUGAGAUACAUACCUGAGUAAAAAUAUUGUGAGUCUGGCUUAGAAUCCACCUUCCAUCAGCAUCAGGAGCUACUAAUAAUUUCAAAGUCCCUAUGUAAACGUCAGUACAGAGGGUCCAGAAGUGUGGAUCAUGUAAACUGUAAACUCCUUGCAACUGCUGCACCUAAACAUAAAAGCAACUUUAUUCUUUUUUCCCCCUGAAAAUACAUGGGCUUAAAUUCCUUAUUACAGUCUUUAUGAUUGUAAAGAAUUGAAAGCAGAUUCUAUGUAUGGGUCAUAAUUCUCUAUCUUGCUACUUGUACACUGUACAAAUAUUUUAUUGAAACCAUUUCUGGAAACAGUGGUGUUCAAGAGAGAAAAAUAAUGUAUUUUGUUGAAUCCCUUCUCAAAUUCCAACAGUAAUUUCUGCAAAUGGAGUAAUUUUCCUAUUAAAAAAGUAGAGAUUCCAGCUAUUAAUAGAAAUGUAUUAAUAUGCCUGUAAAUAUUUUGUGAGGGCUUAAGUUUGUUCCAUCAAAACAAUUCGUCUUCCAAUUCUAGGUGGUCAUUAUAAAUCCAUAACUUUUUGAGAUACAAUGACACUCAUUCUGCAAGCACAUUAAUACAGUGUACUUCGUAAGUUUGCAAAGGUGCUUCACAUGCUCAGAUUAUGACACAUAAGGUAAAUCAGCCAGGAGUAACAGGACAAAUCAAAUCCAGAUUAACCUCCUUACACACAAUUGUCAAUGUUAUUUUACCUCAAUUUAGUAAAGACGGAUCUAGAUUUUGAGAGAUCUAGAUUUUGAGAGAGAGAAACUACCCUGAACAAAAGAACAACAUCAUGCACAAGCAGCACAAAUGACUGUGAGGAAAAGCUUCAGGAUCUCUUUUUGUAACCUAACAUAGCACAAGUUGAAGUUAAGCUACAUAAUAUUUAAAAUUUCAGAAAAAUAAUUUAUCUGGCAUCUUCAUUUCUACAAUCUAGAGAACCUUUCACAAGCUUUACUAGAAAAGAAUAUAUAACAUCCUCAUGUAUGGCUGAGGAUUCUCAUAUACAAAAAUGGCCAAAGUAAGAGCUUACCCUCUGAUAGCACUGAGGCAGGGCAUUUUCCAGAGAUGGAGGAGUUCGCUGCAUCAAAAUUCCAAUGGAUUCUUUUAGAAGUGGAACAAUACUUACUCCUAUAAGUAAUGCUAUCAGCAUUGAACAAAUAGGAUCUGCUAUCAUUAGACCAUAGUUCUGCAUCAAUAUAGCAGAUAUGAUUACACCAAUACUUCCAAGUGUGUCUGCAACAAUGUGUAGAAAUACACCUUGUAAGAUCUGCUUGCUAGAACCAGUCAUCCCCUCAAGACAAU
This 4216-nucleotide long non-coding RNA is filed under the name Gallus gallus (chicken). Lineage: Eukaryota; Metazoa; Chordata; Aves; Galliformes; Phasianidae. The record is from RNAcentral.